AUACGGAGGGGGCUAGCGUUGUUCGGAAUUACUGGGCGUAAAGCGCGCGUAGGCGGCUUAUCAAGUUAGGCGUGAAAGGCCUGGGCUCAACCCGGGAACUGCGCUUAAUACUGGUAGACUUGAGUCCGGGAGAGGGUGGCGGAAUUCCCAGUGUAGAGGUGAAAUUCGUAGAUAUUGGGAAGAACACCAGUGGCGAAGGCGGCCACCUGGCCCGGUACUGACGCUGAGGUGCGAAAGCGUGGGGAGCAAACAGGAUUAGAAACCCCAGUAGUCC
This 274-nucleotide ribosomal RNA is filed under the name uncultured bacterium. Its description in RNAcentral is "partial 16S ribosomal RNA". It matches the Rfam family "Bacterial small subunit ribosomal RNA", at positions 523 to 796 of the family's 1533-position model. The record is from RNAcentral.